RNAcentral lists this ribosomal RNA (1479 nucleotides) under Salmonella enterica. RNAcentral's name for it is "partial 23S ribosomal RNA". It matches the Rfam family "Bacterial large subunit ribosomal RNA", at positions 1341 to 2803 of the family's 2925-position model. The record is from RNAcentral. RNAcentral also lists the same sequence under 1 other name. Lineage: Bacteria; Pseudomonadati; Pseudomonadota; Gammaproteobacteria; Enterobacterales; Enterobacteriaceae.
AAGACCAAGGGUUCCUGUCCAACGUUAAUCGGGGCAGGGUGAGUCGACCCCUAAGGCGAGGCCGAAAGGCGUAGUCGAUGGGAAACGGGUUAAUAUUCCCGUACUUGGUGUUACUGCGAAGGGGGGACGGAGAAGGCUAUGUUGGCCGGGCGACGGUUGUCCCGGUUUAAGCGUGUAGGUGUGUGUUCCAGGUAAAUCCGGUUCACUUUAACACUGAGGCGUGACGACGAGGCACUACGGUGCUGAAGCAACAAAUGCCCUGCUUCCAGGAAAAGCCUCUAAGCAUCAGGUAACAUCAAAUCGUACCCCAAACCGACACAGGUGGUCAGGUAGAGAAUACCAAGGCGCUUGAGAGAACUCGGGUGAAGGAACUAGGCAAAAUGGUGCCGUAACUUCGGGAGAAGGCACGCUGACACGUAGGUGAAGUGAUUUACUCAUGGAGCUGAAGUCAGUCGAAGAUACCAGCUGGCUGCAACUGUUUAUUAAAAACACAGCACUGUGCAAACACGAAAGUGGACGUAUACGGUGUGACGCCUGCCCGGUGCCGGAAGGUUAAUUGAUGGGGUCAGCGCAAGCGAAGCUCCUGAUCGAAGCCCCGGUAAACGGCGGCCGUAACUAUAACGGUCCUAAGGUAGCGAAAUUCCUUGUCGGGUAAGUUCCGACCUGCACGAAUGGCGUAAUGAUGGCCAGGCUGUCUCCACCCGAGACUCAGUGAAAUUGAACUCGCUGUGAAGAUGCAGUGUACCCGCGGCAAGACGGAAAGACCCCGUGAACCUUUACUAUAGCUUGACACUGAACAUUGAGCCUUGAUGUGUAGGAUAGGUGGGAGGCUUUGAAGCGUGGACGCCAGUCUGCGUGGAGCCGACCUUGAAAUACCACCCUUUAAUGUUUGAUGUUCUAACGUGGACCCGUGAUCCGGGUUGCGGACAGUGUCUGGUGGGUAGUUUGACUGGGGCGGUCUCCUCCUAAAGAGUAACGGAGGAGCACGAAGGUUGGCUAAUCCUGGUCGGACAUCAGGAGGUUAGUGCAAUGGCAUAAGCCAGCUUGACUGCGAGCGUGACGGCGCGAGCAGGUGCGAAAGCAGGUCAUAGUGAUCCGGUGGUUCUGAAUGGAAGGGCCAUCGCUCAACGGAUAAAAGGUACUCCGGGGAUAACAGGCUGAUACCGCCCAAGAGUUCAUAUCGACGGCGGUGUUUGGCACCUCGAUGUCGGCUCAUCACAUCCUGGGGCUGAAGUAGGUCCCAAGGGUAUGGCUGUUCGCCAUUUAAAGUGGUACGCGAGCUGGGUUUAGAACGUCGUGAGACAGUUCGGUCCCUAUCUGCCGUGGGCGCUGGAGAACUGAGGGGGGCUGCUCCUAGUACGAGAGGACCGGAGUGGACGCAUCACUGGUGUUCGGGUUGUCAUGCCAAUGGCACUGCCCGGUAGCUAAAUGCGGAAGAGAUAAGUGCUGAAAGCAUCUAAGCACGAAACUUGCCCCGAG